CAACUUUGCUAUCUUAGAACGGAUCACCAGUGAAAGAGGGGAAGUUGCUACUGUGAUGAAUUCUGCCAUGUGGUACCAGACUGCUGCCCAGACCACAGUGUCCUCUGCAACCCUGGUCAAAGCUUCUCAGAUGACCAAGAUGGUGCUGCCGAUGGUGUUGAGGACGGAGAACCCACCAAGCCCCGUUAGGAGCCACCUAGACUGGAUGCAGAGCACAGUGAGCUCCCUGCAGGUUCUCUGAGAAGGGGUGGAUGGCAGCCUGCUCCUUGCCUUUGUGGCCUCCAGACCCCAAAGUCAGGGAACCAAAGGGAGAAAGGGGCCGUAGCUAGGGCAGAGCUCCACUGCAAUGAUUGUUUCAGGGGUAGGAGCCAGGAUUGCUGUCUGUGGACACUGAAAUUUGAAUCUCAUAUAGUUUUCAUGUGUCACAAAACUUUAUUCUUCUUUUGUUCUUCUCCUACCAUCUAAAAAUGUAGAAAACAUUCUUAGCUAUGAGUUGCACAAAAACAGGCAGUGGCCAGAUUUGGUCCAUAGACCAUAGUUUGCUGACUUCUGCCCU
Molecule: long non-coding RNA, 556 nt
Filed under: Pongo abelii (Sumatran orangutan)
Lineage: Eukaryota; Metazoa; Chordata; Mammalia; Primates; Hominidae
Description: lincRNA
Source: RNAcentral